This 305-nucleotide ribosomal RNA is filed under the name uncultured bacterium. RNAcentral's name for it is "bacterial SSU rRNA". It matches the Rfam family "Bacterial small subunit ribosomal RNA", at positions 334 to 637 of the family's 1533-position model. The record is from RNAcentral.
GUUCCCUACGGGAGGCAGCAGUGAGGAAUAUUGGUCAAUGGUCGGGAGACUGAACCAGCCAAGCCGCGUGAGGGAGGAAGGUACAGAGUAUCGUAAACCUCUUUUGUCAGGGAACAAAGGCGGUGACGUGUCCCCGGAUGAGUGUACCUGAAGAAAAAGCAUCGGCUAACUCCGUGCCAGCAGCCGCGGUAAUACGGAGGAUGCGAGCGUUAUCCGGAUUUAUUGGGUUUAAAGGGUGCGCAGGCGGUCUGUUAAGUCAGCGGUCAAAGCCCGGGGCUCAACCCCGGCCCGGCGGUGCAACUGGG